RNAcentral lists this long non-coding RNA (1020 nucleotides) under Equus caballus (horse). Its description in RNAcentral is "lncRNA (ENSECAG00000054545.1)". The record is from RNAcentral. Lineage: Eukaryota; Metazoa; Chordata; Mammalia; Perissodactyla; Equidae.
AAAAAAGAAACUCCUUUAUAUUUGAACUAGAUUGGGUAGGUUUCUGUUCCUUGCAGCCCAAUGAGCCUGACCCUACUUGUUACCGUGGCAAGUCUCUGCCCCCUGUCUGGGCCUCAGUUUGACUACACCACCGUCUCUAAGAUCUUCUCCAGAUCAAUGUUCUCUUUGAACAUCAUGCAGAGUGAAUGGGUUUUAGGUUGUUGGCAACUGAGUUCAGUAUUAGUUACAGAGUGUCCAUGUUAUCCUGGCUCCCAAAAUAACUUGGUGGCUGGUUAAAGAGCCUGUGGGAGGAUCCAACACACACCUGGCUUUGAACCUGAGCCCUGCUGAUAGAGUCUGCCUCCCCUGUCCAUUGCAUCCUUUGUUGGAUCACAAAGGGACUGAGGAACCAGGGCUGGUGUUUCUCCAGUAUCUUUUGGCUGCUGAAUGCCCUACCUACCCCCUUAACACUUUCCUGGACCCACUUCAGCAUUUCAGAGGAUCCCAGUGCCAGCCCAUGAUUUCAUUUCCAGGAUCCACGUGUUUUCAGGAAGCUGACUCCAUCAGGGUAGAGGAGGGCUGAGCCAGUCAAUCCCACUGACUAGAAUGACUGGUUCAGGUGGGUCAUAUGAACUCACCAGUCCAAUCAGAGAGGAUCUCAGGAUUUUUGCUGAGAAGGCUGGCACACAGCCUGUCUCUUCCUUGCUAACCACGAAUGAGGAAGUAUGCAGGCCCUGGGAGCUGUUGGCAGUCAUCUUGGGACAAUAAGAGGAGCAGAAACCAGGAAGAAAGAGUAGCCCUGAGGACUAGGAGGUUAAUUUGGGGCAACAUGGAAGCCAUAUGCUGUAGUCACUGCUUAGGAAGCUCUGGCAUGGUGAAUCAGGUUCAUGCCCCUUACGAUGCCUAUUGUUGAUCACAAAGCAAGACCAAUUUACAAGCAUCAAGGAAAACUCUGGAAGAGAAAGAAAGUUCUAGAUAUCAGCCACUUUUCCCAUAGUCACAUCCUGGAUCAAUGGCUUUUAAAUAUUUUUUAGUGUGCCC